AACGAACGCUGGCGGCAGGCUUAACACAUGCAAGUCGAACGGAUGGGUGUAGCAAUACAUUUCAUCAGUGGCAGACGGGUGAGUAACACGUGGGAACCUUCCUCGUUGUACGGGACAACUCAGGGAAACUUGAGCUAAUACCGUAUAAGUCCGAGAGGAGAAAGAUUUAUCGCAAUGAGACGGGCCCGCGUCGGAUUAGCUAGUUGGUGGGGUAACGGCCUACCAAGGCGACGAUCCGUAGCUGAUCUGAGAGGAUGAUCAGCCACACUGGGACUGAGACACGGCCCAGACUCCUACGGGAGGCAGCAGUGGGGAAUCUUGGACAAUGGGCGCAAGCCUGAUCCAGCCA
RNAcentral lists this ribosomal RNA (349 nucleotides) under uncultured bacterium. RNAcentral describes it as "bacterial SSU rRNA". It matches the Rfam family "Bacterial small subunit ribosomal RNA", at positions 29 to 394 of the family's 1533-position model. The record is from RNAcentral.